CCUACGGGGGGCUGCAGUGGGGAAUAUUGGACAAUGGGGGGAACCCUGAUCCAGCCAUGCCGCGUGUGUGAAGAAGGCCCUCGGGUUGUAAAGCACUUUCAGUGAGGAAGAACGCCUGGUGGUUAAUACCCAUCAGGAAAGACAUCACUCACAGAAGAAGCACCGGCUAACUCCGUGCCAGCAGCCGCGGUAAUACGGAGGGUGCGAGCGUUAAUCGGAAUUACUGGGCGUAAAGCGCGCGUAGGUGGCUUGAUAAGCCGGUUGUGAAAGCCCCGGGCUCAACCUGGGAACGGCAUCCGGAACUGUGAAGCUAGAGGGCAGGAGAGGAAGGUAGAAAUCCCGGUGUAGCGGUGAAAUGCGUAGAGAUCGGGAGGAAUACCAGUGGCGAAGGCGGCCUUCUGGACUGACACUGACACUGAGGUGCGAAAGCGUGGGUAGCAAACAGGAUUAGAUACCCUGGUAGUC
This 465-nucleotide ribosomal RNA is filed under the name Vreelandella stevensii. RNAcentral's name for it is "partial 16S ribosomal RNA". It matches the Rfam family "Bacterial small subunit ribosomal RNA", at positions 338 to 795 of the family's 1533-position model. The record is from RNAcentral. Lineage: Bacteria; Pseudomonadati; Pseudomonadota; Gammaproteobacteria; Oceanospirillales; Halomonadaceae.